Molecule: ribosomal RNA, 252 nt
Filed under: uncultured bacterium
Lineage: Bacteria
Description: partial 16S ribosomal RNA
Rfam family: Bacterial small subunit ribosomal RNA
Source: RNAcentral
UACGGGGGGGGCAAGCGUUGUUCGGAAUUACUGGGCGUAAAGGGCUCGUAGGCGGCCAACUAAGUCGGACGUGAAAUCCCUCGGCUUAACCGGGGAACUGCGUCCGAUACUGGAUGGCUUGAGUUUGGGAGAGGGAUGCGGAAUUCCUGGUGUAGCGGUGAAAUGCGCAGAUAUCAGGAGGAACACCGAUGGCGAAGGCGGUCUCUGGGCCACUACUGACGCUGAGAAGCGAAAGCGUGGGGAGCGAACAGG